GCAGGAGUGGCGGAAUGGCAGACGCGCCAGAUUCAGGUUCUGGUGAAUGCAAAUUCAUGUGGGUUCAAGUCCCAUCUCCUGCACCA
RNAcentral lists this transfer RNA (86 nucleotides) under Eubacterium coprostanoligenes. RNAcentral describes it as "tRNA_Leu_CAG". It matches the Rfam family "tRNA". Rfam says of the family: Transfer RNA (tRNA) molecules are approximately 80 nucleotides in length. Lineage: Bacteria; Bacillati; Bacillota; Clostridia; Eubacteriales; Eubacteriaceae. The record is from RNAcentral.